CCUACGGGAGGCAGCAGUGGGGAAUAUUGCACAAUGGGCGAAAGCCUGAUGCAGCGACGCCGCGUGAGGGAUGACGGCCUUCGGGUUGUAAACCUCUUUCAGCAGGGAAGAAGCGAAAGUGACGGUACCUGCAGAAGAAGCGCCGGCUAACUACGUGCCAGCAGCCGCGGUAAUACGUAGGGCGCAAGCGUUGUCCGGAAUUAUUGGGCGUAAAGAGCUCGUAGGCGGCUUGUCACGUCGGAUGUGAAAGCCCGGGGCUUAACCCCGGGUCUGCAUUCGAUACGGGCUAGCUAGAGUGUGGUAGGGGAGAUCGGAAUUCCUGGUGUAGCGGUGAAAUGCGCAGAUAUCAGGAGGAACACCGGUGGCGAAGGCGGAUCUCUGGGCCAUUACUGACGCUGAGGAGCGAAAGCGUGGGGAGCGAACAGGAUUAGGAUACCCUGGUAGUCCACGCCGUAAACGUUGGGAACUAGGUGUUGGCGACAUUCCACGUCGUCGGUGCCGCAGCUACGACAUUAACGUUACCCGUCCGUCGGGAGGUACGGCCGCGACGGACGUAAACCUACGAAGAAGUAGUACGACGNGAGAGACGCGACGACGACGACGACGGAGGAGG
RNAcentral lists this ribosomal RNA (613 nucleotides) under uncultured bacterium. Its description in RNAcentral is "bacterial SSU rRNA". The stretch from base 1 to 527 matches the Rfam family "Bacterial small subunit ribosomal RNA", at positions 338 to 873 of the family's 1533-position model. The record is from RNAcentral.